RNAcentral lists this ribosomal RNA (403 nucleotides) under uncultured bacterium. Its description in RNAcentral is "partial 16S ribosomal RNA". It matches the Rfam family "Bacterial small subunit ribosomal RNA", at positions 30 to 526 of the family's 1533-position model. The record is from RNAcentral.
AUUGAACGCUGGCGGCAGGCCUAACACAUGCAAGUCGAGCGAGCGGCGGACGGGUGAGUAAUGUAUGGGGACUGCCCGAUAUAGGGGGAUAACUACUGGAAACGGUGGCUAAUACCGCAUACUGUCGGAUAACCCAUAUGGGAUUAGCUAGUAGGUGGGGUAAAGGGGCCCCUAGGCGACGAUCGCUAGCUGGUCUGAGAGGAUGAUAAGCCACACGGGGACGUAGACACGGCCCAGACUCCUACGGAGGCAGCAGGGGGGAAUAGUGCACAAUUGGCGCAAGCCUGAUGCAGCCAUGCCGCGUGUAUGAAGAAGGCCUUAGGGUUGUAAAGUACUUUCAGUGUGGAGGCGGUACCCGCAGAAGAAGCACCGGCUAACUCCGUGCCAGCAGCCGCGGUAAUAC